This 484-nucleotide ribosomal RNA is filed under the name uncultured bacterium. RNAcentral describes it as "partial 16S ribosomal RNA". It matches the Rfam family "Bacterial small subunit ribosomal RNA", at positions 28 to 523 of the family's 1533-position model. The record is from RNAcentral.
GACGAACGCUGGCGGCGUGCUUAACACAUGCAAGUCGAACGAUGAUGCUGGAGCUUGCUCCAGUUGAUUAGUGGCGAACGGGUGAGUAACACGUGAGCAAUCUGCCCUUGACUCUGGGAUAACUGCGGGAAACUGUAGCUAAUACCGGAUACUUUCACCGGAAGGCAUCUUCUGGUGAUGAAAGAAUUUCGGUCAGGGAUGAGCUCGCGGCCUAUCAGCUUGUUGGUGAGGUAACGGCUCACCAAGGCGACGACGGGUAACCGGCCUGAGAGGGGGACCGGUCACACUGGGACUGGGACACGGCCCCGACGCCUACGGGAGGCAGCAGUGGGGAAUAGUGCACAAUGGGCGCAAGCCUGAUGCAGCAACGCCGCGUGAGGGAUGAAGGCCUUCGGGUUGUAAACCUCUUUGAGCAGGGAAGAAGCGAAAGUGACGGUACCUGCAGAAAAAGCACCGGCUAACUACGUGCCAGCCGCCGCAGUAA